This is a non-coding RNA of Myotis lucifugus (little brown bat), 74 nucleotides long. NCBI's taxonomy places the organism in Eukaryota, Metazoa, Chordata, Mammalia, Chiroptera, Vespertilionidae. The record is from Rfam.
GGCAGUUCUCAAGUGAUGCACCCUGGAAUCGGCUCCCGCCUCUCUGGUUCAGGGUGUAUCACCUGAGAACCACC